GACGAACGCUGGCGGCGUGCCUAAUACAUGCAAGUCGAGCGCUGAGGCCUGGUACUUGUACCGACUGCGUGAGCCGCACACGUGUGAGUCACGCGUGGAGCCUCUCCCUUUCAGUGGGGGACAACAAUGGAAAACGAAUUCAAAUACCGCAUAAAAACCUUCAACACAAGUUGUAUGUGUAAAAUAUGCAAUUUCAUCAUUCAAUCGUGAUUUAGCGUUGUAUUAGUUUGUUGGUGGGGUAAAGGCUCACCAAGGCGAGGGCGCGUAGCCGAACUGAGAGGGUGGUCGGCCACAUUGAGACGGAGACACGGCACAAACGGCUACGGGAGGCAGCAGGAGGGAAACGUCGGCAAUGGACGAAAGUCUGACCGAGCAACGCCGAGUGAGUGAAGAAGGUUGUCGGAUCGUGAAACUCUGUUGGUAGAGAAGAAAGUUGGUGAGAGUGGAAAGCUCAUCAAGUGACGGUAACUACACAGAAAGGGACGGCUAACUACGUG
This 497-nucleotide ribosomal RNA is filed under the name uncultured bacterium. RNAcentral describes it as "partial 16S ribosomal RNA". It matches the Rfam family "Bacterial small subunit ribosomal RNA", at positions 28 to 507 of the family's 1533-position model. The record is from RNAcentral.